Molecule: small nucleolar RNA, 140 nt
Filed under: Drosophila simulans
Lineage: Eukaryota; Metazoa; Arthropoda; Insecta; Diptera; Drosophilidae
Description: snoRNA:GD26556
Source: RNAcentral
AAUAUAUUAAAGCAAAUUCUAUAACUCUAAACCAUUAAAAAGUAUAAUCGGAGUUUUGAUAUGUAAUCAGAAUAGCUUUAAUUUAUAGUUUUCUUAAUUUUAACUUUUCACAAGCAUAAAAUUAUCAAAUUGGCUACAAU